Long non-coding RNA from Ictalurus punctatus (channel catfish), 431 nucleotides. The record is from Ensembl. NCBI's taxonomy places the organism in Eukaryota, Metazoa, Chordata, Actinopteri, Siluriformes, Ictaluridae.
UAUAGAUAGUUUAGUUUAAUAUUAUAUAGUGUAUAGUAUAGUGUAAUAUUAUGUAGUGUAUAGUAUAGUACAGAUAGUAUAGUGUAAUAUUAUGUAGUGUUAUAUAUAGAUAGUAUAGUGUAAUAUUAUGUAGUGUAUAGUAUAGUACAGAUAGUAUAGUGUAAUAUUAUAUAGUGUAUAUUAUAGUACAGAUAGUAUAGUGUAAUAUUAUGUAGUGUAUAGUAUAGUAUAGAUAGUAUAGUGUAAUAUUAUGUAGUGUAUAGUAUAGUAUAGUAUCGUGUUGGUAGUGGAGACCACUAGAUGGCUCUAUGUACUGGGGGAUGUAUGCACACACACACACACACACACACACACACACGCACACGCACACGCACACUGUGUGAUAGAGUGUAGUCUGCACCAAUCCGCGCGCGCAGGCGGCGCCGGUGACG